GACGAACGCUGGCGGCGUGCUUAACACAUGCAAGUCGAACGGAAAGGCCCCUUUGGGGGUACUCGAGUGGCGAACGGGUGAGUAACACGUGAGUAACCUGCCCUUGACUUCGGGAUAACUUCAGGAAACUGGGGCUAAUACCGGAUAGGAAUCCUUGCUGCAUGGUGGGGGUUGGAAAGCUUCGGCGGUUUUGGAUGGACUCGCGGCUUAUCAGCUUGUUGGUGGGGUAGUGGCUUACCAAGGCUUUGACGGGUAGCCGGCCUGAGAGGGCGACCGGCCACAUUGGGACUGAGAUACGGCCCAGACGCCGACGGGAGGCAGCAGUGGGGAAUAUUGCACAAUGGGCAGAAGCCUGAUGCAGCAACGCCGCGGGCGGGAUGACGGCCUUCGGGUUGUAGACCGCUUUCAGCAGGGGCGAAGCUUGUGGUGACGGUACCUGCAGAAGAAGCACCGGCUAACUACGUG
Molecule: ribosomal RNA, 465 nt
Filed under: uncultured bacterium
Lineage: Bacteria
Description: partial 16S ribosomal RNA
Rfam family: Bacterial small subunit ribosomal RNA
Source: RNAcentral